This 217-nucleotide non-coding RNA is filed under the name unclassified sequences. Its description in RNAcentral is "raiA RNA". It matches the Rfam family "raiA RNA". The record is from Rfam by way of RNAcentral.
CUCCUUAGAGCUGUGGUUGAAAGUCGAAGCCAGUCGCAGGCGAAACGACCCACGUAAGGUAACUUUGGUUACUGAGCAUGGUGCGGCUUUGGAGUAAGUCCUGCCUUAACCCUAAUAGGUUAUAACAAUAAGAGAAGAGUAGUAGUGAAGGACAAAGUUCCCGAGCAAACCUCUCAGCAGGCGAGUGUGGGGGCAAAGACCAGGUCAGUCUAAGGAA